GUCCUUACGUCAGCUAGAGACACCCGGACUGUUUUGAGUGUAACACAGGAAGUCCGUCUGAGAGACAGGAGUUUUGUUUUCACUGAAAAAUCUACCUUUUUCGCGGAUAAACAUCAAAAGGGGCAGCAGCUUCAGCAGGGAAGCCCAUGACACUCCUCCACCAGUUCCUCUGAGAGUACCCUGAGACACUCCCUCCCCAGUGUGGUCUUCUCUGGGACCUGGAUCACCUCCCAAGGGAAGUGGCCAGGAGGCUUCCUCACCAGAUACCCGAACCACUUCAACUGACUCCUCUUGACAUGAAGGAGCAGCGACCUUAUGCUUAAGAACCGCGUGCAGCAGAGGUGACACACGUCUGUCAGCCCCUGAGACCCUCACUCCAAGGUGCUGAAGGACAAAGACCCACAGAGGAAAUGAAAUCCUUAUCAACGCGGACAAAGCUGCAAACAUCACACCAACCCAACGCUGCUUUUUAUCCUCAGUGACAAAAUAAAGCUGAUAUCUCUGCAAAACCAGCGCCGCAUAGACUCUGUGUGAACAGGCCGAGGGGGAUAUUUCAGCCCUGGUGAGUUUGUUCAUCUAUCUGCUGCUUGUCGCCUCUUCAAAAAUGAUCAAAAUGUUAUCCUCUGUGUGACGGGGGGGAAAGCAUCACUCAUUAUCCUCCUCGGCAGCGGGGAUGAAAAACUAAUGCUGUGACAGACAGUGUGUGUGAUAUUUCAGUGAAUGUUUCUGAUGGCAAAAAUUGACAGGUGAAGAUAAACACCGGCGAGCUUAUCUGAAGAGCUGAGGUCUGACACAUUUACCAGAACGAUGGAAUAUGUUUUAAAGCUCAUAUGGAAGUCAAAGAUGUCACAUUAGAGGUUGAGAUCCUCUAGGUUUCAAUAUCACUUGGCAAUAUCCUGCUACUGAGAAACACUAUUGAGAAAAGAUGCUAUUAUUCUGCUUAAAAAUGCAAAACACACACUUUUUGGCCGGUUUAUCUGCUUUAGGGCUCUUUGUAGAAACAUGGCAGUGCAGUGCUUCCAUUUAUUUUCUAGUUAACACAGAGCUUAAACGUUACACAGGAGGAAGAAGAAGAUAAUUAAAAAAGCACUCUGGAAAAACACGACCACCAACGCGGCGAGGCAUUAGCGAUUACAAGCUUGUUAGCGCAACCUCUC
Long non-coding RNA from Solea solea (common sole), 1157 nucleotides. RefSeq lists it as uncharacterized. The record is from RefSeq and is a predicted model, not a curated record. Lineage: Eukaryota; Metazoa; Chordata; Actinopteri; Pleuronectiformes; Soleidae. The transcript has 3 exons.